GGUUCCUACGGGCGCAGCAGUGGGGAAUAUUGCACAAUGGGGGGAACCCUGAUGCAGCGACGCCGCGUGAGUGAAGAAGUAUUUCGGUAUGUAAAGCUCUAUCAGCAGGGAAGAUAAUGACGGUACCUGACUAAGAAGCCCCGGCUAACUACGUGCCAGCAGCCGCGGUAAUACGUAGGGGGCAAGCGUUAUCCGGAUUUACUGGGUGUAAAGGGUGCAUAGGUGGCAGGGCAAGUCAGAUGUGAAAGCCCGGGGCCCAACCCCGGAACUGCUCUGGAAACUGUGAAGCUGGAGUGCAGGAGAGG
RNAcentral lists this ribosomal RNA (305 nucleotides) under uncultured bacterium. RNAcentral describes it as "bacterial SSU rRNA". It matches the Rfam family "Bacterial small subunit ribosomal RNA", at positions 334 to 657 of the family's 1533-position model. The record is from RNAcentral.